CUGAAGCGCGUACACACCGCCCGUCACUCUCCCCCAUAAACGCAAAGCCCAUAAAUAAUAACACUACUAUCAACAGGGGAGGCAAGUCGUAACAUGGUAAGUAUACCGGAAGGUGUACUUGGACAAACU
This 129-nucleotide ribosomal RNA is filed under the name Corcyrogobius liechtensteini (Liechtenstein's goby). RNAcentral's name for it is "partial 12S ribosomal RNA". Lineage: Eukaryota; Metazoa; Chordata; Actinopteri; Gobiiformes; Gobiidae. The record is from RNAcentral.